This 301-nucleotide ribosomal RNA is filed under the name uncultured Acidilobus sp. RNAcentral's name for it is "bacterial SSU rRNA". It matches the Rfam family "Bacterial small subunit ribosomal RNA", at positions 494 to 795 of the family's 1533-position model. The record is from RNAcentral. Lineage: Archaea; Thermoproteati; Thermoproteota; Thermoprotei; Acidilobales; Acidilobaceae.
CGGCGCAUUGCGUACCAGCGGGCGGGGUGAGACGUCGGGGGCGAGCGGUGGCCGGAGUUAGUGAGCGUAAAGGGGUCGUAGGCGGUUGUGCGCGUCGGGAGUGACAACAGCGGGCUUAACUCGUUGCUUGCUGCCGAUACGGGCAGACUAGAGGUAUGCAGGGGAGAAUGGAAUGCCUGGUGUAGCGGUGAAAUGCGCAGAUAUCAGGAGGAACACCGGUGGCGAAGGCGGUUCUCUGGGCAUUACCUGACGCUGAGGAGCGAAAGUGUGGGGAGCGAACAGGAUUAGAUACCCCAGAGUC